AACUCGGGGGACUGCUGACUAUAACCAUUUCUCAAAACAGAGGAAGGUUGCGGCAAUAACAGGUCUGUGAUGCCCUCAGAUGUCCCGGGCUGCACACGUGCUACAAUGAGUGGCGCAAUGUGCUAAUGUUUAAGGGAUAAGAGUGUGGUCAGUAGAACGUCGGGAUUUCCCCUGACGUCUCCCCCGCACGAUUAUCAGCCUUCCCUUAACAGGGCGGGCAACCUUUUCAAAAUACUGGUUUGAUGUUAAAGUAUUGAGUCGUUUUUUUUGGAUGGUGGUUUGUUAACCAAUACCAUCCGGCAACUGCUCGCGAGUUUGUGGUUCUGGCGACUCAUGGUGGGGACCGACGUUUGUAAUUUUUUGUCGCGUGUUAACUAGGAAUGCCUUGUACUGUCGAUUC
Molecule: ribosomal RNA, 400 nt
Filed under: Globigerinoides ruber albus
Lineage: Eukaryota; Foraminifera; Rotaliida; Globigerinidae
Description: partial small subunit ribosomal RNA
Rfam family: Eukaryotic small subunit ribosomal RNA
Source: RNAcentral